AUUGAACGCUGGCGGCAGGCUUAACACAUGCAAGUCGAACGAUGAAGAUAUAGCUUGCUAUAUCGGAUUAGUGGCGGACGGGUGAGUAACACUUAGGAAUCUACCUUUUAGCGGGGGAUAGCUCGGGGAAACUCGAAUUAAUACCGCAUAAUUUCUACGGAAUAAAGAGGGCUUUUAGCUCUCACUAGAAGAUGAGCCUAAGUAAGAUUAGCUAGUUGGUGGGGUAAAAGCCUACCAAGGCGACGAUCUUUAGCUGGUCUGAGAGGAUGACCAGCCACACUGGGACUGAGACACGGCCCAGACUCCUACGGGAGGCAGCAGUGGGGAAUAUUGGACAAUGGGGGCAACCCCGAUCCAGCCAUGCCGCGUGUGUGAAGAAGGCCUUUUGGUUGUAAAGCACUUUAAGCAGUGAAGAAGACCUAUUGGUUAAUACCCAAUAGCGAUGACAUUAACUGCAGAAUAAGCACCGGCUAACUCUGUGCCAGCAGCCGCGGUAAUACAGAGGGUGCAAGCGUUAAUCGGAAUUACUGGGCGUAAAGCGAGCGUAGGUGGUUAAAUAAGUCAGAUGUGAAAGCCCUGGGCUCAACCUAGGAACGGCAUCUGAAACUAUUUAACUAGAGUAGGUGAGAGGGAAGUAGAAUUUCAGGUGUAGCGGUGAAAUGCGUAGAGAUCUGAAGGAAUACCGAUGGCGAAGGCAGCUUCCUGGCAUCAUACUGACACUGAGGCUCGAAAGCGUGGGUAGCAAACAGG
RNAcentral lists this ribosomal RNA (750 nucleotides) under uncultured bacterium. Its description in RNAcentral is "bacterial SSU rRNA". It matches the Rfam family "Bacterial small subunit ribosomal RNA", at positions 28 to 776 of the family's 1533-position model. The record is from RNAcentral.